This 32-nucleotide small RNA is filed under the name Bombyx mori (domestic silkworm). Its description in RNAcentral is "ovarian small RNA-14526". Lineage: Eukaryota; Metazoa; Arthropoda; Insecta; Lepidoptera; Bombycidae. The record is from RNAcentral.
CGGUGUUCCACAGGGGUCGGUACUCGGCCCUC